GCCUUCGUGGUGUAGUGGUUUGCAUGCUCCACGUGUAACCGGAGAGGUCCGUGGUUCGAUUCCCGGCGAAGGCG
Molecule: transfer RNA, 74 nt
Filed under: Stegodyphus mimosarum
Lineage: Eukaryota; Metazoa; Arthropoda; Arachnida; Araneae; Eresidae
Rfam family: tRNA
About the family: Transfer RNA (tRNA) molecules are approximately 80 nucleotides in length. Their secondary structure includes four short double-helical elements and three loops (D, anti-codon, and T loops). Further hydrogen bonds mediate the characteristic L-shaped molecular structure. tRNAs have two regions of fundamental functional importance: the anti-codon, which is responsible for specific mRNA codon recognition, and the 3' end, to which the tRNAs corresponding amino acid is attached (by aminoacyl-tRNA synthetases). tRNAs cope with the degeneracy of the genetic code in two manners: having more than one tRNA (with a specific anti-codon) for a particular amino acid; and 'wobble' base-pairing, i.e. permitting non-standard base-pairing at the 3rd anti-codon position.
Source: Rfam by way of RNAcentral